GCCAAAGUAGCUCAGUUAGGAGAGCAUUAGAGUGAAGAUCUAAAGGUCCCUGGUUCAAUACCAGGCUUUGGCA
This is a non-coding RNA of Chelonoidis abingdonii (Abingdon island giant tortoise), 73 nucleotides long. NCBI's taxonomy places the organism in Eukaryota, Metazoa, Chordata, Testudines, Testudinidae. The record is from the annotation of a RefSeq genome assembly.